GUGCUCACUUCAGCAGCACAGACACUAAAAUUGGAAGGAUACAGAAAAGAUUAGCAUGGCCCCUGCGUCAGGAUGACAUACAAAUUCUUGACGUGUUCCAUAUUAAA
This 107-nucleotide small nuclear RNA is filed under the name Ursus maritimus (polar bear). Lineage: Eukaryota; Metazoa; Chordata; Mammalia; Carnivora; Ursidae. The record is from RNAcentral.